AUUCAUACACAAUACUACACCAUUUCUAUGUGUUUAUUACUCGAGGAUUAUUACAGACUUCUUACAACAUAUGAUGGAGAAUAUGUAAAUAUUUGCAUCACAUUUCAAGGUACACCUGGAUUGGUCAUUAUUUCUGAACAUAAUAGCUUUUAUAUAAAUGGAUAUAUAUUGACUUUUUACAGACAAUUGUAUAGCAUUCAUUUACAUUUCAUGGUGAACUGAAGUCUAUAUAUAUUACAUUGUUUUGGACUUAUUUUCCAAUAUCAACUAUUUAUUGAAGUCUUUGACAUUUACUCCGAAGAUCAGAAACUAUAACUCUUGGUUUCAUACAAUUUUCUUGUCUGCUACAUGUGUAUUUCAACGUAAUUAAGAUAUAUAGAGGAUAAAAGUUUUAUUUUAGCAGUGAUUGGAAGCAGAAAACGUACAUGCAUUUAAGAUCUGUAUUCGUUGUAUACACAGCAGUAGAAACCUUAUAUGCAGUCUGAUAAACAAGUCUGUCUGAUUAAAAAAAAAUAUUCAUCAAAAUUGAAUGUUUUUCAAAUCUUCAUUUUGAUGCGAUUGAAUGUGCGAUGGUAUAAGAUUUCUUUCUGAAAAGUGAAUUGUUAGUAAAUGGAUUAUUUAUAGUGCUCUGAAGUACUCCGACUUAAUAAACUAUAAAUGAUGUCGUCAAAUGGAGGAUUUUUAAACUUUAAAUGUAAGUAGAUGACUAGUAAGGAUAAAUAUCAGUUUAAGCCUCUGAGUAAGGUUUGAUAUUCAUGAUAUGUAGCAUCAUGUAAAUAUAGAUGUAAUUAACAAUUUAUACAUAAUAAGUAAUAUGGUGUAGGAGAAGGUCAAAUGCAGACUAGUGCCAUGAAUUAUCAUUUAUCAUGUUUAAAUUCUAGUUGUCAGGUAUAUAUCAUAACAGCACAUAUGAUGUAAAAAAUAAAUAGUUUUUAGAUACAUUUUUGUGAAAUAUUCCUAGUUUAAAAGAGUAAAUUUACUUGAAAUAAUGAUAUUUUUUUAUGCAUUUUGAUUAAAUUUUCAAUUAUUAAAGAAUAAAAUGUUAAGUUAGAUAUUCCACGUUAUUUUAUAAUUAGUGUCCCUUAUGUUUUCCAAGUAUAUUGGUUCUGUUAGCAAUCAGUAUUUUCUGGAGGGAUCUGAGCUUUGAAAAAAUGGAACAAUUCCGCUACAUUUUAUAUUAAUGUUUAUUUCUAAUCUAGCAUAAAACAUUCUGACUUUCAAAUAACACAUUGCUUGAUAAAUUGUAGCAGUUAUUCUGAGUAUUAAUUUUCUUUCUAUGACUGCAGAGCUUAUUUUAAGUGAGUGAUUAUGUUAUUAGAGUGUGAAACAAUUCAGUCAAUGUAUUCAGGAUGCAGUACUUUUAUAUGUAGUGAUUCAUUGAUCAGAAUUGUUUACCAUUGUUGAUCGUAACUCUUGGGUAUUUUAAUAUGAAUAAACUAUAGAAAGAUACACACAGAUACAGGUAUUGUCAGGUGAAAACCAGAGUUAAACUUAUAGAUAUUGCUCUAUUUUAUUAAAAAAACCUUUUAGUUGUUAGCCAUCACUUGAAUUGUGUCGUUGUGUAAUGUCUAUUUUUUUAUUUCUAACUUUAAACAUGUUAUACAAAAUUUAAAAAAAAAACAAAGAAAAAAACCAACUGGACCAAUAUUCGUGAAUAAACACCAAACUGAGGGGGUCUUGUUUAUAAAAUUACAUUGAUAUGCUUGCUGAAUUGCUAAAAUUGCCAUUGUUAUUAAGUUAAAAAACUUUAAAUAUUCAAAGUCAUGCUGUGUUAAUACAUUUGGAGGCUGAUACCCUGAAUAUAGCUUAUGAGAUCUGAGAAUAUCAUGUAAUUGAGACAGCAAUCCUAUUUUAAUACAUUGAGAUACCAUUCAUAAUCUUAGUCAGUGGAAAAACACUACAGGUAUUUAAAUCAUGCUAUCUUAUACUUAUAUGUGGCUAUAAUUGGAAAUAGAUAAUAGAAAAGUUGCAUUGUUUGUCAUACAUUUUUGUUAUUCAAGAAUUCUGAUAUUAAGGUCCAAAAAAAACCAACAGCAAUCACUUUUAUCAUGUUUAGCAUUUGACUUGUCAUGCUUGUAUGUACAUCAACAUUUAUCCAAAAGACCAUUUUAUAAGUUAAUAUUUUUUUUUAUUGAUAAGAUUAUGGGUAGUGUUGUACACAUAAUAGAUAAGAAAUAGCUGUCAUGUAAUUUUAAGAUGGAAAUUUGUUCAUAAAUCACUUUUCACGCUAGUGAGCUACAGCAAGUGAGAAGAAAUAGGCUUUUUAAGAGGACCAGAUUUGUAAUGUCAAGUGACACACAUUAUACAUGUUAUAAGAUAACCAUGUAUACUACAUGUAUUAUGAAAAAAAAUGACUGUCAGUAGCAAAAAAAAACCCAAUUCAGAACAAUCAACCCUUUCUGAAUCCAAAAAGCUUCUAACAUUCUAAACAUUGGAGUUUGCUGAUAGUUAUUAACUUGAGUAAACAAGUCACAAUUACUGUCUUAAGAAAAGUGCACAUACAGAAACAUUCUUUCAGAAGGCUUCUGGAUUAUUCACCAUCUUAAAAUAGAUAUGAUGCUUCUUCAUGAAAGAAAAUAUCUCGUGAAUUUAAUCAUAAAAUUCAAUGGUUCUAUUUUUUACCCAUUCAAUAGAUUUUCAAGAAAAGUUUUUUUAGACAAUUUUUUUUUUAUAUAUGUAUGACAAAAUGAUAUUUGUAUAGUAUUAAGCAACACAUAAAAUUGUAUUGAUAGUAAUCAAAGUUGUCACACACUUAGCCACAAUACCAAUUAGUCAGAUUAAAGUACAUGUAUGUAGAUAACUAUUGUGUCCUCUGACAAUCAAGUUCUAGUUACACGUAGGGAUCAUGUUAUGUCUUAUUGUCAUAUCCUUCAUUCCAAGUACAUGAAGACUCCUAAAGAAAUCUGACAUAAUUCACCAAACUACAUAUUUUUCUACAGGACCUAAGUUUUUGCACCUGCUAAUUUAGUUCUUGAUUGGAGUGUUUUGUUGGGUUUCCAAUAACAAUAUAUUCAGUUAGCACUGUCUGUUUGUGUCAUAUUAGCAGCUACACUCACAUCUUCAUAAUGGAAGACUUACUUAAAAAAAAGAUAUAUGAUAAUUGAAAUAGGUAAAUUAGUCUAUUUUUUGCAAAUACUUCUUGAAGGCAGUUCAACAACUUACUACACUCAAAGUCCCACACUCAUACAUCCAUUUGUCUGAAGUAAUACAUGAAAAGAAAAGUCAGUGAAUUACAUGUAAAUAUUUAUCACAACUGCCCUGUAGCUAUGUUGUAAUUAGGUAAAUAGUGUAAUUAUCCUUUUCUUCCCAGAUAUAAACUCAUUGUAGACACAUUAUUUAUAAAUAUACCAUGUACAUCAUAGAAGAAGAUAUUGUUCAUCUUGAGCAUAAAAACAAAAAGAAAGGCAUACAUUUUGACACCAUUAUUCAUUACAUUAAGUAUUUAACUGUACAUCUAGGGUAAUCUAGGUUAAGUACUGGGAAAGAGUGGGGAUCAAGAAGCUUUCCACAUUUUAUAUUAUUUGGCAAUGCUCUUCUGAAACAACAGAAUGCUGUUUGGCUCUUAAUGUGUAGAGAAGUCAUAAGAUUUCCUGACAUCCUGAGAAGCAAAUGACCUAAAUAUGAAUGAUGAAUUAUAUAUUAACUGGAAAAUGAAAAUCAUUUAAGCACGUCAUAGUAAGUAUUACUGAUGUGUCUCUGAAUGGUUUGUAAUUGGUAUUGUGUAUGACAAAAGUUGUAUAAGGCUGAUACCAUUUUAAAAUAUGUACUCAAUCAGCUGUGGGACAGGUAACAAAGUACUCCAGAAGCUCAUUGUACUCUGCCAAAGGUUCCAUGAUACAUUCCUUGUAUUGGAUCCAUACAAGUUUUGAAAUAUACUUUUUCAAGAGGUUCAAGAUCAAUUUUCUCAUUACUGCACAAAGAUUUCUUAUAGCUUAUUAUGAUUUAGAAAUAUAAGAGGUAUUGAACAUUACUUAAUAAACUUUAAAUCAUGUGUGUGCUUAAAGAGUACUGGGUAUUGGAUCGACUGCCAGGUUCAAACUGUAAUAGUUCUGAAUUAUGACAAAACAGUUGGAUUUGUGAUAGCUGUUCACUAUGGAUUAUAAAGUGAAAUGUUUUGGUCUUUACAAAGGCGGAUUUAGGGGAGGGGGGCCCUCUUUUGUCAGAAAAGUUGAUUAUAUUGGGAAUCACUGAAGCAUGACUUGAACGGGCCCCUCUUAGGCAGUCAAGGGCCCCAACUUAGGAAAAUUUCUUGAUCAGCUACUGUCUUAUGUGUAGUUGGUUUCAAGGGGGUGAAGUCAUGAAACUUUUCUCAGUGCUCGGAGCACAAAAAUCAUGCUUGAAACACAAAAUACAGUAUUCUGAUUGGUUGAUUCUUGAGUCUGAGUACAAAAAUCAUGCUUGAAAGUUUUAUGACCACAAGACCAGGUAUUCUAGCACUCUUGAUCCAAGUUUCUGCACAACUUCACCUAUUGACUUUUGGGAGAAUAAUUUUGGUAACUUGUUUCUCUAAGUUAAAGAUUACCUUGCAGUAAGAGUUUACCCCUUUCAUUGUGCAGUUUGAACCAUGGUUAGAACCAUGGUUAACCAUGGUCAACCAUGGUUGUAUGACCAUGGUUGACCAUGGUUUGACAAAAUUGUUAAUUGGCCGACCAUGGUUAACCAUGGUUUUAAUGACCAUGGUUGACCAUUGUUAGAACCAUGGUCAACCAUGGUAGGAACCAUGGUCAACCGUGGUUCCAACCAUGGUCAACCGUGGUUCCAACCAUGGUCAACCGUGGUCCCAACCAUGGUCAACCGUGGUUCCAACCAUGGUCAACCAUGGUUAUUAAUGAGUCAACCAUGGUCAACCAUCUCCAUUAAACCAUGGUUGGCCAUUUUACAUUCUUGUCAAAUCAAUCUUCAAUUAUCUUGAAACAGUUAGUCUACUUGUUAUGGAGCCUGUAUACUUCUCUUCCUUUUUGUGUCAGGACUACCAACAAAUGCUAAAUUGCAUGAAACUCUUUAAAGCUACCCUUGCAGAAAUGUUCAUCCAUAAAAUGCAAAGCAGUUUCCACCUGCAAGAACAUAAAAUUUUCCACAAAGAAUCAAUUGUUCUUGAUAAUUUGUAUACAAUAACAGAUUUUAAGGAUCAAAAAUGUUUUAUCUUCUUUUGCAAAUUUUCAAUAAUAAAAACACCCAACAAAAUAAACAUUAUGAACAUGUUUUUGUUUAAACAAAUAAUUGUAACCCCCCCCCCCCCUUUUUUUUUGGUUUACCUUUCAAACAAAAGAAUGAUUGUGUAAAUUAUUUUUACCAUUGACAAAAUUUUCAUAUUGUACAGUUUUAUCAGUUACACCUGGAAUUAAAAACAAUUAAAUAUAAAAUUUAUGUUGAUAUGGAUAACUGACACUGACAAAAAAAUUUAAAGACCCAUUUCAGGUGGCAUGUGUUCAAUUAAUGAAAGCCAAAUCAAAUACUGUAACAAUUUUUACAUCUUUUAAACAAAAUAUCAAACAGAUUUCCUGUGAAUGUACUUAUCUGAUAACAAAUCUUCUUUACGUGACAACACUGGACAUCAAAUCCUUCACUUGAUUUUUAAAGCGCGAAAUAACUUUACUGAGAUCACGUGACGUUUGUUCCAAGUCAUUUAAAUGUUUCGCACUGAGUGAAUCAUUGUUAACGGUUGGUGAUAAUAAUUGAUCAUGACGUCGCAUGUGUUUCCGGUUGGGGAAUAAACAUAAACAAUAAAGACUAAAGAUAUCACUCUGAAAUGUUUUCAAGUUCUUAAAAUAUGCCGUAUAAUGAUAAAGAAAGGCAGAUUUAUGAACUUGGAGAGAAAGUCAGAAAUUACGUCUUUGGAAGAAAGAAAUACAUCGUUAAAUGACAGCGUACAACUGUUAAAAAACAAGGAAUACUGAUCGAAAGUAAGUUCCAACUUCCAGUUUGUAAAAGUUUGUAAGUCCCAAAUUUGACCCGACUGUAACUAGCAUUCUCUGCCACUAUAGCUUUACUGCUCAGUUUAUGUGUGUUUUAAAAUGUAUAGAGAAUAUAUUGUUAUUGAAAUAAUCAUGAAAGGUCACAAUUUACCUCUUGGGAAGAAAGAAAUUAAAAAUUGUCAAUAACAUUGUACCACUGAAAAAAGCAGCACGAUUUUUUAAUAUUGAAAGUCUCAAAGUAAUUUACAAUUUGUUAUAAAUUCCCAUGGGUAUAAUCCAGAUCAAUAUUUAUUCACCAUGGUCCAGGUUGUCAAGUUGACCAUGGUCAGGUGCAAGACCAUGGUUGUCAAAUUGACCAUGGUUGAUUAGACCAUGGUCAACCAUGGUCAGAUGUUUACCAUGGUCACAAACGUGGAAAACCAUGGUUAACCAUGGUUAAAUAGAGCAUGGUCAACCAUGGUCAGAUGUUGACCAUGGUCACAAUCAUGGUUAACCAUGGUUAACCAUGGUUUUCAGCACAGUCAACCAUGGUUUGACCAUGGUUAUCAAUGGUUAGCGAUGGUAACCAUGGUCAACCAUGGUUGCAUUUUGACAGGGGUAUGGGGUAUUUGGAGGGCCUGUUGCAGGACAAAAUAUUUGCUGCUUUUACAAAUACCCUCUUUUUCAAGUGGUAGUUCAUAUUUCCUGCUGUCCAUUCUGGUUGACCUACUUUUUAGGAACUAUUUUGACAGUUUUUGAUAUGCAUGUGAUAUUUGUCACUGGAGACUGGACUGUUACAUGAUAAUUGUUAAGCACCCUUUGAAUUCUGUUUUUGUGGUUAAAAUAUAAUAUAUGUACAUAAACAAGUACAUGUAGUACCAAAAGUAGACAACCCGACUAUGCUGAAAUUAGAGUGGUCAUUAAAAACCCCCAGAAUAAUUCAAAUCUUAUAGGUAAAAAUAAUGGUUUUAGUCCUGAUGAAUAACAAGUAGUUACUUAUUUUCUGUAUCAUCUGUAUGGGACCCAAAUCAUAAUUAAAAGAUUUUAGUACCUCUAUUAUGAAACCUUGAAAUUUUAAAGCAUUUGUUCAAAAUUCAAUGUCAACAACAUUUUACUCUAUAGAGCUCUUAGCUAUAUUUAUCAUUCAUAGAAAUUAAUUACAUUUUGACGAUAAUUUUUAUUUAUAGGAUUUUUACUAUAAUCCUCUCUGUGUUAAGUAUGGCGACAUAUUGCGUUAAGUUUAAUAUAAUGUGCAGUAUAGUCUGAUCUUUCUGAAUAAAUCACAUAUAAAAGAAUAAUCACAUUUCUUAGUGGCAGGGAACGAAUACAUCUGUAGUUAUGAAAUGUCAAUUGUGACGUCAUUAAAUCGUUAGACUUUUCAGGUUUAGUGAACCGUACAUGUUAUAUUAAGUUUGUUUUCUUAUAAGAUUUCCAAUUAUUAUAAGCUAGUUAUUUUUAUACUGCAACCUUGAGAUUGAUUCUUUUCUGGGACUACAAAGGUCAACGCUCUGUGUAAACAUACUCAAGGACUUCCAUUAAUACCCGAUAUUGAAAAGUUCGUCAGGGGAUUUGACAUAAAAAAAGCUUGUUGAUAAUUACAAUGUUGAACAGACAUGAAUUAUAAGUUAUUAAACAUGUGGCUGGCGGGGGAUUAGAAUGGCAAAAAAUAGAACCUUUGAUUAACAACAAUUAUAAAUCUUUCAGUUAAUAGUUCCAUGAUAAUCUAAGAUAAUCAUGAUAAUAUCUUAGUAUUUUGAUGUUCUUAAAUUGUGUUUAAGAUAAAUUGAAGAAAAAUCAGUUUAUAAACUUGUCAUAGGCUUUAUUUGGAAAUAAAAAUUCUUUUUUUUUCUGCUGAUUGUUUGGAUGCAUUAUUUUACUGUAUUGGUCAUUUGACACUAGAGUUUGAUUUCAAUCUACUGUUUGGGUUUAAGGUUGGCUAUUUGGGGUGUUCAGUUUUAGGUUUAGGGUAAGGGUUACAGUCAGGUAUGGGUUAAGGUAGGUCUAUAGUAAAGCUCUUUAUGAUUUGGGACCCCUAAAGAUAAUGAAGGCUGUUAAGGUAGGUCUAGUAAAGCUCUUUAUGAUUUGGAACCCCUAAAGAUAAUGAAGUCUGUUAAGGUAGGUCUUGUAAAGCUCUUUAUGAUUUGGGACCCCUAAAGAUAAUGAAGGCUGUUUAGGUAGGUCUAGUAAAGCUCUUUAUGAUUUGGGACCCCUAAAGAUAAUGAAGGCUGUUAAUGUAGGUCUAGUAAAGCUCUUUAUGAUUUGGGACCCUAAAGAUAAUGAAGGCUGUUUAGGUAGGUCUAGUAAAGCUCUUUAUGAUUUGGGACCCCUAAAGAUAAUGAAGGCUGUUAAUGGUAGGUCUAGUAAAGCUCUUUAUGAUUUGGGACCCCUAAAGAUAAUGAAGGCUGUUAAGGUAGGUCUAGUAAAGCUCUUUAUGAUUUGAGACCCCUAAAGAUAAUGAAGGCUGUUUUAGGUAGGUCUUGUAAAGCUCUUUAUGAUUUGGGACCCUAAAGAUAAUGAAGGCUGUUAAUGUAGGUCUAGUAAAGCUCUUUAGAUUUGGGACCCUAAAGAUAAUGAAGGCUGUUAAGGUAGGUCUAGUAAAGCUCUUUAUGAUUUGAGACCCCUAAAGAUAAUGAAGGCUGUUUAGGUAGGUCUUGUAAAGCUCUUUAUGAUUUGGGACCCCUAAAGAUAAUGAAGGCUGUUUAGGUAGGUCUAGUAAAGCUCUUUAUGAUUUGGGACCCCUAAAGAUAAUGAAGGCUGUUAAUGUAGGUCUAGUAAAGCUCUUUAUGAUUUGGGACCCUAAAGAUAAUGAAGGCUGUUAAGGUAGGUCUAGUAAAGCUCUUUAUGAUUUGAGACCCCUAAAGAUAAUGAAGGCUGUUUAGGUAGGUCUUGUAAAGCUCUUUAUGAUUUGGGACCACUAAAGAUAAUGAAGGCUGUUAAGGUAGGUCUAGUAAAGCUCUUUAUGAUUUGGGACCACUUAAAAGAUAAUGAAGGCUGUUAAUGCUACAUGAAAUUUUCAAAAAAAUAUCUGGUGAGUCUUUGAAGCAAGAUAAUAACUUUUUUUAUAUUAGAGUUCUAAAAUUAACAAUCAGAUAGAUUUAUCAAACUUGAAUAAAAUUAGAUGGUAUAAAAACAUGUACUAAAUUAGUUAGAAGAGUGGAAUAUUUUGGCAACUUUUGUAAAUUUUGGCAAAAACAAGGUGUUUGAUAUAAUGUUUUUACCAGUUUCUGUUGGGUUGUCUGUGUAUACAUAUAGAUCUCUGUGCUAUAAAUAGCUGUAGUAUUUUGUAUGAUAGUCUGUAAUCAUUAAGCCAGAAGUGUUAAUGAGAAUUUUUUAGGACUGCUUCCUUGUGGAAGGUGAUUUGACUGACGUCACAGGAGACUUGACAGAGGUCAAACUACAACACACAUACUCUGACCUCCUGUGGUAUUCAUCUUGGAAUGUUAAUUAUAGUCUAGAAAGUUCAAUACUUCUUAACCAAUUGUCUUACUUUUUGGUAUCCUAAAAUAAGAUGUUUGUGGCUAAAAACAGUUCUGUUAGUAUCAAAAUAACAGUCAAGUGAAUUGUUAUGAUAAGUCAGUUUUGAUGCUUGAUGCAUGUUUAAUUAGCAUUUGGACACAUUUAAUAGUAGUUAGACAGACACUGCUGUUUAUACACUUUUCAGAGGUACUAUUCUUAUCCUUUUCAGAGGUAAGAAGUGUCAAAUGAUUUUAUACUUGAUUUUAGUAAUAUUUGGUUCUGCUUCAGAAGAUAGCAUUAAUGUAUGCAUUUCCUUAAUAGAGAAAGUUAUGUCAGUAGAUGAUAGUCAUAUUGUCUUUUAAACAGCAACUCAGGUGAACAUGCAUUUCUUAGAAGGUUAUAAGAUCGUAGUGCUGUUGCUAACAUUUGGCAUCAAGUGUCAUUGUUCCUGGCCUAUCAAGCUUAGAAAGUAUGGCCUGGCUACCAAAAUUGCCUGUAUGGUAAAAAAUAAAACAAAGGUAACAUGUCUGCCUGUAGACUUGUCAGAGGCGGAUUUAGAGGGGCCCAGGGGGCCUGGGCCCCCCCCCCCCUUUUUUGGGAAAAAAUUUGGUUGCUUAUAUAGGGAAUCAUUGAAGCGUGACUGGAGCGGGCCCCCUCUUAGGUCAGUCAGUGGGCCCCACUUAUGAAAAAUUCUGGAUCCGCCACUGCUUGUUAUCUAGCAAAUUGAAAAGUCCAGCUGAGUGUCAAUCUAGUUAACAUCUGGAUUUAUUCUCAGAUCACAUGAAACAUUUUCCUUUUCUGUAAUAUGAGCCACUGGACAUUAAACACCAAUACUUCCAUUCUUAAUUAAUAUUUUCCAGGGUUACUUAUUUGACAUUGUGAUUUCAUUCAAGUUUAUAGAAUUUUCAUCCUGUUCCACAACAUAUCUCAAAAUAACAAAAACAUUAGAAAAUGUAGAACUAUAUGGACUCCCCUUAAAUAUUAACCUUUUAUCACAAAGUUUUUGAUAUAAAGAUAGAGCUCAUUAAAUGUUAUGCAAACAAGUAUAUUUGUGGAUACCAAAAUAGAUAUAGAUUUAAGGGGUUGACCUAUUAGUGUUCUAAAAUAGACUAAUGAUAUGCCAAUGUAAACAUGAUAAGUCAGAACAUGGUUACAUUGUAGUGGUGAGCCACAUUUGUACUUUAAUGUUUGGAAAUGGUAUGUUGAUCUUAUAGUGAUAGAAGAUUUUAGUGAUAAUAAUGUGAACAUCAAGAUUAGGUAAUGCAUUUUGUUUUCCUUAUGUUUUGUAUUGUAAUAUUUAAACGUGGAAAGUUUUUUUAGCAAGGGGAUAUUAUUGAAAUCAGUAAAUUGUUGAGGUUUAUAGUAUUUGGUUUUCACAUAACAAAAUUGUGACUUUUAUUUGUUAUAGGGCAGGCGAAUGGAGAUAUGCAGCAUCAUAUUCCUUUUCUCUUAGAUCCUUUAACAGAAAUCAACCAUGAACGGAAAUGUUUUGUUACUUUUGUCUAUUUUAUAUGCAUAAGUAUCUUAUUCUUCAUUUAACUCUCAUAUUUUAUAAGGGAAAGUAUUGCUUAAUCUCCUAUAUGUUUGAGCAGAAAAUAGCCUGAGGUUCAUCAAUGGUGUUGUGUUGAGGGGGCCUUGGUGGCAGAGUGGUCUAAGUAGUUACUACUGUAAUCACUAGCCAGUCAACACUGAGGUUGUGAGUUUAAACCCUGCUUGUGAGGGUGCACUGGACUCCAGUCUUAAUUGACUACGAUUGUCAGUUUUCCUAUCAAAGGUCAGUGGUUUUCUCCAAGCACUCCGGCCUCCUCCACCAAUAAAAACUGGCCACCAGGAAAUAGCCUAAAUGCGGUGCUUAAAAGUGGCAUUAAAACACCAAAAAUCAAAAAUCAAAUCAAUGGUGUUGGGGAUUCAUUUCUUCAAUAUUUGCAGCAUGGCCUAUUUCACCACAAAAUGCUAGACAAUUCAACCUUAUUCAACAAACCCAUUGACGAUACAAAUUUUUUAAGCAGGUAUAUAUGAAGAAAUAUUCAAUAAAACAUAAUUUAAUUUAAACUCAGUUUGAUUAUAAGAAUAAAUCACAUCUUUUAUUUUUGUAAAAUGAGUAAUAGGUUUUACGCUGUAGUAAAAGUACAAAUAAUUCAAUUCUGAAAUUUAAAAUGAAGAGAAAUCUAAAAUAAACCCAGCUAAUUAGAUAAUUUGGUCAUGCAUAAUGAAAAUUGCCAACAGUAAUUUAAUAGGAGUAAAUAAUUCCAGUUGUCUAGAAGGCUUGUGGAGGAUAUGCUCCAUUGUCCAUGAUUCAUUGCAUAGUUUGAUUGAUGUAGUCUGUAUUUGUUUAUCCAAAUGAAAAAGUAAUACUAAGUUCCAUAUCCUUUUAUGCUUCAAGUACACAGGACACUUAAGGUGUUGUAAUUUUCUUUAUAGGCCUACUAAAUAAAGAAAUGAUUUAACAUUUUAGAUAUUUAUAUUUAGUAUUGGAAGACAACAGGAUGCCAUCUAAAUCAAAAUAGAAUAGUACCCCACACAAAGCAUGCUGGUAUUGAUCUUUUAGUAAUUCUGUAAUGAACAACUAUAAAUAACUUGCUCUGAUAACAGUAAAAGGAUCCAAUUAUAUCAUAGAGAAUUAAUAAAAAUAUCCCUACUGUAAAAAACUUGUUUUGUUCCUUGCAAGAUUAUUAUUGAUGAAUUCGUGAUUUAAUGGGCUUGUUUUUAGAAUAUUGUUGAUACUUGAGGAUUAUAAAUAGAUUUGGCAAUAUUUGAUAGGAAUUUUUGGAAUUUUUCUGUAGUUUUCAUGUGUUGACUUCAGCUAGCUAUAGGUUCUAUUUGUAGAAUCAUCAUGUUUAGAAACAGGAUAAUAGAAGUCAUGCAGUAUCUUUUGCACUUAUUAACCUAUUUUAAAAAAUUGCUUGAUUAAAAUUAAGAUUUAAAUAAGAUUUGUUUUGUCAUAUAAAUUGAAAUUCAAUCAAAUGUGUUUACUUUUUAUACGACCGCAAAAUUUGAAAAUUUUUUCGUCGUAUAUUGCUAUCACGUUGGCGUCGUCUGCGUCGUCGUCUGCGUCGUCGUCGUCAUCGUCGUCGGCGUCGUCGUCGUCCGAAUACUUUUAGUUUUCGCACUCUAACUUUAGUAAAAGUGAAUAGAAAUCUAUGAAAUUUUAACACAAGGUUUAUGACCACAAAAGGGAAGGUUGGGAUUGAUUUGGGAGUUUUAGUCCCAACAUUUUAGGAAUUAGGGGCCAAAAAGGGCCCAAAUAAGCAUUUUCUUGGUUUUCGCACUAUAACUUUAGUUUAAGUAAAUAGAAAUCUAUGAAAUUUUGACAUAAGGUUUAUGACCACAAAAGAAAGGUUGGGAUUGAUUUUGGGAGUUUUGGUUCCAACAGUAUAGGAAUUAGGGGCCAAAAAAGGGCCCAAAUAAGCAUUAUUCUUGGUUUUCGCACAAUAACUUUAGUUUAAGUAAAUAGAAAUCAAUGAAAUUUUAACACAAGGUUUAUGACCACAAAAGGAAGGUUGGGAUUGAUUUUUGGAGUUGAGGUCACAACAGUUUAUGAACUAGGGGCCAAAAAGGGGCCCAAAUAAGCAUUAUUUUUGGUUUUUGCACCAUAACUUUAGUAUAAGUAAAUAGAAAUCUAUGAAAUUUAAACACAAGGUUUAUGACCAUAAAAGGAAGGUUGGGUUUGAUUUUGGGAGUUUUGGUCCUUACAGUUUAGGAAUAAGGGGCCCAAAGGGUCCAAAAUUGAACUUUGUGUGAUUUCAUCAAAAAUUGAAUAAUUAGGGUUCUUUGAUAUGCCGAAUCUAACUAUGUAUGUAGAUUCUUAAAUUUGGUUCCCGUUUUCAAAUUGGUCUACAUUAAGAUCCAAAGGGUCCAAAAUUAAACUUAGUUUGAUUUUAACAAAAAUUGAAUCCUUGGGGUUCUUUGAUAUGCUGAAUUUAAAAAUGUACUUAGAUUUUUAAUUAUUGUCCUAGUUUUCAAGUUGGUCCAAAUGGGGGUCCAAAAUUAAACUUUGUUUGAUUUCAUCAAAAAUUGAAUAAAUGGGUUCUUUGAUAUGCCAAAUCUAACUGUGUAUGUAGAUUCUUAAUUUUUGGUCCAGUUUUCAAAUUGGUCUACAUUAAGGUCCAAAGGGUCCAAAAUUAAACUAAGUUUGAUUUUAACAAAAAUAAAAUUCUUGGGCUUAUUUGAUAUGCUUUAUCUAAAUAUGUACUUUGAUUUUUGAUUAUGGGCCCAGUUUUCAAGUUGGUCCAAAUCAGGAUUCCAUAUCAAGUAUUGUGCAAUAGCAAGAAAUUUUCAAUUGCACAGUAUUGCACAAUAGCAAGAAAUAUCUAAUUGCACAAUAUUGUGCAAUAGCAAUUAAUUUUCAAUUGAGUUAUCUUUCUUUGUAUAGAAUAGUAGUUGAUAAUAUAUGUUGGAAAUUUGCCAGACAUGACUAUGAUGUCAUUUUCUAUUUUUAUUUCUAUUUUUAUUUGCCAAUAACUUUAUGUAAAUAACUUCAUUGGAAAUUUGCCAAUAUAAAAUGUUGCUGAUGAAGCUGUUUUUCCUUAUCUUAUCUAAAAUGUUUUUAGAUAAUGUAUGUUGGACAUUUGCCAGACAUGACUAUGAUGUCAUUUUCUAUUUUUAUUUGCCAAUAACUUUAUGUAAAUAACUUCAUUGGAAAUUUGCCAAUAUAAAAUGUUGCUGAUGAAGUUUUUUUUAUUGUUUAUACAAUAAACAAUGUAUAUUCACUUUUACUACAACCAAUCUUUACCAUUUCAGUGAUAACAAGCACUUUAUUUUUUUUUACAUUUUAAUAUUUUAUGAUGUAUUUAAAAGAGUAGUUAUUGUUGGAAACUCCAUUAGAAAUUUGACUUGAUAUCAGUUUUGGAAAAAAGGGAAACGGGGAUGUGAAAAAAGGGGGGGGGGUAAAUUUUUCUCAUUUCAGAUUUCAUAAAUAAAAAGAAAAUUUCUUCAAACAUUUUUUUGAGAGGAUUAAUAUUCAACAGCAUAGUGAAUUGCUAAAAGGCAAAAACAAACUUUUAAGUUCAUUAGACCACAUUCAUUCUGUGUCAGAAACCUAUGCUGUGUCAACUAUUUAAUUUUAGAUUUAAAAAGUUUGAAGAAGAAAUCUUUAAUUGUAAAAUUUGUAAAAUCUUGACAUUUGUUUUGUGUAAAAAAACACCAUGUAAUGUCAAAAAUUUGAUCACAAUCCAAAUUCAGAGCUGUAUCACGCUUGAAUGUUUUGUCCAUACUUGCCCCAACUGUUCAGGGUUCGACCUCUGCGGUCGUAUAAAGCUGCGCCCUGCGGAGCACCUGGUUAAUUUUGAUGUAAAGACUGGGGGUAGGGAUUAGAACACAACACAACAGUAUACAAUACACCUUUUGUCCUAAGCUGGGAAAAAUUGUGACGGUUCAGACUAUCAUAACACUAACCAUGCUAGAUUGUGUAGAUUUUCAUUUUGUACUAGCCAAAUUAUUUUUUGUUUAUACAUGUAUGAUACAGGAGUCAGUUUCACCAAAAAAAUUACGACUAAGAUUUGUCUUAAGUAUACUGAAUUGUUUAUGACUUACGAUCAAUCUUAAUCGUAAGUGUUUUUGUGAAACCGACCCCAGAUUUUGAUACCUUUCAGAAAAAGUUUCAAGCUCAUAUUUUCUUUUGUAAUAAACAAAAAUUUAUAUAUUUUGAAAAAGAGAUUUUUGUCUUGCCUAGACAGAGUCAAAAAGCAAGACUAAAGGUACGCUGUUCCUGCAUCAGUGUCAAUAGAUAUAUAAAGAAGAUUUGAUAUGAGUGCUCAGAAUGAGACAAAUUUCCAUCCAAGUCACAAUUUGUAAUAGUAAACCAACAUUACGGUCCUCAACACAGAGCCUAAAUUUAAGGCUCACACCAAACAACAAGCUAUAAAGGACCCCAGAAGUGACUAGUGUAAAACCAUACAAAUAUGAACAACAACAUUCUAAUCUAUAUAAAAAAACGAAACGAGAAACACUUAUGAACCACAUCAAUAAACAACAAACUCUGAACAACAGGUUCCUGUAAGCAUGAGUUAGGGAUUAGGUCAAUUUACAGUGGCAGUACAGUACCACAGUAUUAAAUCUGAUCAGAAUAUUGUGUAAAAAGGUGUUUAAUAAAUGGCAUCCAUUUCCACCUGAUUCUUUUUUAUUUUCAGAUCCAUUGGUACCUCAUGAAUCCACGAUGGAAAUCAACAAUCAUUUUGCACAUAUUAGCAGAAAACCAGGUAU
RNAcentral lists this long non-coding RNA (15551 nucleotides) under Mytilus galloprovincialis (Mediterranean mussel). Lineage: Eukaryota; Metazoa; Mollusca; Bivalvia; Mytilida; Mytilidae. The record is from RNAcentral.